RNAcentral lists this long non-coding RNA (274 nucleotides) under Capsicum annuum. RNAcentral's name for it is "long non-coding RNA (CANN_LNC015403)". The record is from RNAcentral. Lineage: Eukaryota; Viridiplantae; Streptophyta; Magnoliopsida; Solanales; Solanaceae.
UAUAUUCUUCUGCUAAAUUUUCAGCUUUUUCUAUGACCAUGUCUACUUCAUAUCCUUCUUGUAGAACUUCUAUAUUCAUAAACUCGCUCUCUGUUUCUAUAUUACUCUCUAUUUCAUCAUCGUCUAAAUUUCUUUUAGUUGCGUAACUAUAAUCUAUAAAUCUAACUGAAGUUUCUCCUUUACUUGUAGUAUAUAAUAGAUAAGAGUCUGGUGUAAGAAUUUUUGGUUUAGUAAAUUUAUUUAAAUUUCAUUCUAAACCUGCAUAUAUUUCUGG